UCUCUCUCUCUCUCUCUCUCACUCCUCACAACAUGAAAAUAUUGUAAACACACACACACACAUAUAUAUAGAUAUAUAUACCGGCUUUUUAAAAGACGUGGAUUUUAGGAAAUAUACGUCUCUUACCAGCAAUUCCCCAAGGAAGAAAAAAAACCCCAAAUCAACAGCUCUCAGUUACAGCCGGUUUGGCCUUCUUUCGUUUUUUUUACCUCAGUCGUCGCUGCUGAUUAAUUCAACCAAAUGUGUGUGUGUCCGUGUGUUUUCGCCAGAAAUAGGAAGUAUAUAGAAAUUUUAUUAUUAUCUUUUUUCCGAAAAUUGUUGAUUUAGAGUAAGGGGAGGAAAAAAAGGCAAAGUGUGAAAAGAACCGCGGAAGUAAGGUUUUACGGUGAAAUUUUGUUUAAAUCCAGUUCAGCCCCUAAUCAAGCAGACCUAUGAUCAAGCAUAUUCCAGCCGUGACCAUCCUGUGUUUGUGUGUGUGUGUGUGUAUCUGCGGUGUGAUGUCUAUACUAGGAACGACAUUAUGUGCUGUGUCUGUAUUCCAAAACGGUAGACUUUGGUUUGAAGAAGAUUUGGCUGCUAUUUCUACAAGCUGGCGUGAUCGCGUAGAGAGACUCCUUCGUUCAGCUUGUUUAGAAGGUGACUAAGGUUACUAACAGACAACUGUUUUAUCAAUGAACGAGGAAACUAAACACACACACUCUACACACACACGUACACGCAUGCACACAUACACACACGCACGCACGCAUUCUAAACAUAUGCACUCGCGCGCACACGCUUACAUAAACUCACGCGCGCACCUAGAAGUGUACAAAAUACAUUAACUCCAGCGGCAAAAUAUUGAAUCCUUUUUUAACAAUGGAUGUAUUAAUUGACUUUUAAUUAUUAUAUAGGUGUGUCUGUGUGCGCGCUCAUACGUACAUACAUACCAAGAGAGACAGACAAAAAGAGGGAAGAAAAAAGAAUCUACUCACUUGUCUGUCUGUCUAUCUAUCUAUCUAUCUGUCUGUCUGUCUAUCCAUCUCUCUCUCACUCACUCUAUCUAUCUAUCUGUCUGUCUAUCCAUCUCUAUCUCUCUCUCACUAUCUAUCUAUCUAUCUGUCUGUCUAUCCAUCUCUCUCUCACUCACUCUAUCUAUCUGUCUGUUUAUCUAUCUAUCUUUCUAUCUAUCUGUCUGUCUGUCUAUCUAUCUCUCUAUCUGUCUAUCCAUCUCUCUCUCUCUCUCACUGUCUAUCUAUCUAUCUGUCUGUCUGUCUGUCUAUCCAUCUCUCUCUCACUCACUCUAUCUAUCUAUCUAUCUAUCUAUCUAUCUAUCUAUCUAUCUAUCUAUCUAUCUAUCUCUAUCCAUCUCUAUCUCUCUAUCUGUCUGUCUAUCUAUCUCUCUCUCUAUCUUUCUUUCUAUCUAUCUAUCUGUCUAUCUAUCUAUCUAUCUAUCUAUCUAUCUAUCUAUCUAUCUAUCUAUCUGUCUAUCAACAUCUAUUUCGAGAUAGUAUCUAUGUAUGUAUAUAUAUAUUUAUACAUACAUGCAUACAUACAUACAUACAAUAGAUUAUUAUAUAUAAGUAUAUAUGUGGUGCGUAUGUAUGGUAUGAUGUGAUGUGUGUGUGUGUGCUUGUAUGUCAAGUUAUAUAUAAAAUCUUAUUUUAACAUUAAACUGAAAGACCACGUAACGCUUUCUUUCAGAGAAGUAUAUAUUAAUUUUUACGAUUUUUUUUUUUUACAAGGAAAAGUCCACAGUGACUUCGAAGUUUCGGAUUACCAGCUGUCAUGGGACGACGAGGCUGCACUGGUUUGUAGUUUACACACACACACACGUAUAUAUAUAUAUAUAUAUAUAUAUAUAUAUGUGUGUGUGUGUGUGUGUGUGUGUGUGUGUGUGUGUGUGUGUAUAUGUGUGUGUGUAUUCAAAUUUCCCCCUCCGGGAGUGAAACUUGUCUGUCACAGGGAAAUGCUUGACCAACCAACAAGGUAGCUGGCUCAGCAGCGGCAAAGAGAAAGAAAGUGGUUAUAAAUAUAAAAAAUGUGGAGCCAAACACACGAACACAAGAAGUUUUAAACUCUUAGCGUCGAGCAAGUGUUGGCUGGCUGGCUGGUGGACUGGUAGGUCGGCUGGUUGACUGGUUACACGGAAGCAGCAUUGGCAAUUAGGGGAGAGAGUGAGAGAUAGAAGGAAUGAAUGGAUGGAUGGAUGGAUGGAUGGAUAGAUAGAUAGAUAGAUAGAUAGAUAGAUAGAUAGAUAGAUAGAUAGAUAGAUAGAUAGAUAGAUAAAGAGGGGAAGGGUGUAAUAUACGUUUCAGAUGCGGCUGCGGUCAUGCUGGAACAGAACAUAUACACAUGCUUGUGUGUGUGUGUGUGCAUAUAUUCUUCUUUCUUUACUUGUUUCAGUCAUUUGACUGCGGCCAUGCUGGAGCACCGCCUUUAGUCGAUCAAAUCGACCCCGGGACUAAUUCUUUGUAAGCCCAGUACUUAUUCUAUCGGUCUCUUUUUGCCGAACCGCUAAGUGACGGGGACGUAAACACACCUCCAUCGGUUGUCAAGCAAUGCUAGGGGGACAAACACACACACAUACAUAUAUAUAUAUAUAUAUAUAUACAUAUAUACGACAGGCUUCUUUCAGUUUCCGUCUACCAAAUUGGUCGGUCCGGGGCUAUAGCAGAAGACACUUGCCCAAGAUGCCACUCCUGCGCCUAUAUAUAUAUAUAUAUAUAUAUAUAUAUAUAUAUAUAUAUAUAUAAUAUAUACAGUUGAAACAUUCCUGUCACAACCUGGGACCUUGAAGACUGCUUAAAUGCAAGAAAGUAUACUGGUCCCUUAAUAUUUGAUAUUCAAUAUUUCAUCUAUUCAAUAAGACAAUCAAUACUUCAUUUCAUUUUACUAUAUAUAUAUAUAUAUAUAUAUUAUUUAUACUAUAUAUUCUAUAUUCUACAUUAAUAUUGUAAAGAAUAUAAAUAAAACAUAAAAAGCAGACAGAGUUGGAAUUCCUUUGAAUAAUAUAUAUCCCUCUAUACACAUUCAAACAAAUCCCUUUAUAUAUAUAUAUAUAUAUAUGUGUGUGUGUAUGUGUGUCUGUGUGUGUGUGAAUAUGUGCAUAGAAGGGGUGUAGAGAGAUAGGGAGAGAUACGUGUAUAUAUAUAUAUAUAUAUAUAUGUAACACGUGUGUGUUUGUGUGUGUGUCUGCCUUUCACUCCCGUUGACAAAAACUUCCUUUCUUACUCUUUUCACCAUCCACCCCCUCCAAACUCCACUACACUUCCCUCCAACAUUUCUUUUCUUAACAUCAUUCACUGCUUCUUUCAUUUGUCAAAUAUACGUCUCGGGGGCCCCCCACUUUAACCGAGCCGAUAUCGAACACUUAAACAGUAAAUUAUAUACAGAUACACACACACACUAUAAAACUACCAAACUACCACGCUACUUCUGACAUUAAUUUCUAAUGAAAUGAUAAACUUUUAGAUUCUUUCAGAAGAAGGAAUUUCAGACUCUACAAUGGUUCGUUCUUCUCUCAAUAACGUGAUAACUUGUUGAGAAAAUAGCUUUAAAACAACCUGCCAAAAUUGACUCAAGACAUUUCAUUCAGUUUUCUCACCCUCUUUCCUUUCUUUUUUCCCUCAGUUUCUCUCUAUUUUCUUUUUCGCUUUGUCUUUCUAUUCUCACUCAUUCUUUCACUCACUCACUCAUUCAUUCACUCAUUCAUUCAUUCAACAUAUGUUUUACCUUUUACUUUUUCCUACACCCUCUUGACUUCGACGCACCCGAUAUUCACCCGGACCUUUAUUACUGACAAAGUUGCCAAAUGUUCUUGAAUUCCUUUUGUAGUUUUAUCGUUUUUAUUAAACAUUCAUUAAGAUUUUUUUUCUUCCCCUCUUGUAAAUUCUUGGCAGCUUGUUUUAAACAAUAAAGCUUCCAUUACACACACGCCGCAUGUGUGUAUGUAUGUGUGCCUAUUUCUGUUGUCCCGUAACAUAGCUAGUUGACAAAUGAAGUCCAAGUUAUUAAGCACUUGAAGUGAAGGCAGUGGAUGUCUCAACGUGACCACAGUCCUUAUAUCUGUGUGUGUGUGUGUGUAAAGGUAAUAUUUCGGCAAAAGCCUAUGACGUCACGAGUGACCGUGUAACACUGGCUGUUAUCAGCUCAGCGGAGCUAAACAAACACACACUCGUACACACACUCACUUAUCCAUUACUGACGUCAUGUACUAAUACCUAUUUCUUUAUUACCCACAAGGGGCUAAACACAGAGGGGACAAACAAGGACAGACAUAGGUAUUAAGUCGAUUACAUCGACCCCAGUGCGUAACUGGUACUUAAUUUAUCGACCCCGAAAGGAUGAAAGGCAAAGUCGACCUCGGCGGAAUUGGAACUCACAACGUAAUGCAGACGAAAUACCUAUUUCUUUAUUACCCACAAGGGGCUAAACAUAGAUGGGACAAACAAGGACAGACAGGUAUUAAGUCGAUUCCAUCGACCCCAGUGCAUAACUGGUACUUAAUUUAUCGACUCCGAAAGGAUGAAAGGCAAAGUCGACCUCGGCGGAAUUUGAACUCACAGCGUAACGACAGACGAAAUACGGCUACGCAUUUCGCCCGGCGUGCUUAUAAUACCGAAACAUUGUCACACACAGCAAAAACACGUUUAUUAUGCAGCUGGCAGUAUUUAGCCACAGGUUUGAGGUUUCGACGACAUACCAUUUGCCACUGAUAUGUCUACAACCCAUAGAUCUGCCUCGUAUCCCAAUUUCCAACUUAAUUCCUAAACCAAGGAACACCAAAUGACGCUAACACCAAAUGACAACGCAUUCGUAUUGUAACGUGUCGUAAGGUUUACGUCUCAAACAGCCAGAGCAUAGGUAACAGUUAAAUUACAUUCAGGUACAUUUAAUGUUUAGAAAAUGACACAGAUAACAUAUUAAUAGACUACGUCGAAAGAGUUGGGUAUAUAAAUAUAUAUGAGUCACUACAUAUAUACAUAUUAUUAUCUUUGUUAGCAGAAAUCUAUAUCUAUUGAAUGAACGACCGUAUGUAUAUUUGUAUGUCGACAAGCAGUCAUACAGAUAUUUUUUUGUCAAUGAUAUUAGACGCACCCCGAUUUCAGUAGCGCAAGUUUCAAGAACACAAUGUUAUUUAGUGCAGCCUUGGGAAGCCCAACUUUGAAAUAAGACCGAGGGGUGAUUUUUUUCAGUCUGUUUUCUUUUCUUCUUUUCUGUCUUUCAUUUCUUUCUUUUUUUUCUUUCUUUUUAUUUUUGUUCUUUUUUCUUUUGAAAAACGCUCACCAAAUAGUAAGUUCUGGCGUGGCCGUAUGGUAAGAAGCCUGCUUCCCAACCGCAUGCUACCGGGUUCAGUGUCACUGUGUCACACCUUGGGCAAGUGUCUUCUACUGUUGUCUUGGGCCGACCAAAAACUUGUGACCGGAUUUCGUAGAUGGAAACUGAAAGAAGCCCGUCGUAGGCGUGGCUGUGGUAAGAAGCUUGCUUCCUAACCACAUGGCUCCAGGUUCAGUGCCACUGUGUGCACCUUGGGCAAGUGUCUUCUACUAUUGCUCAGACCAACCAAAGCCUUGUUCAUGGAUUUGGUAGAUAGAAACUGAAAGAAGCUCAUCAUAUAUAUAUAUAUAUAUAUAUAUAUGUGGAAUGGAAGCACUCCAUCGGUUACGACGACGAGGGUUCUGGUUGAUCCGAAUCAACGGAACAGCCUGCUCGUGAAAUUAACGUGCAAGUGGCUGAGCACUCCACAGACACGUGUACCCUUAACGUAGUUCUCGGGGAUAUUCAGCGUGACACAGAGAGUGACAAGGCCGGCCCUUUAAAAUACAAGUACAACAGAAACAGGAAGUAAGAGUGAGAGAAAGUUGUGGUGAAAGAGUACAGCAGGGAUCACCACCAUCUCCUGCCGGAGCUUCGUAGAGCUUUAGGUGUUUUCGCUCAAUAAACACUCACAACGCCCAGUCUGGGAAUCGAAACCACGAUCCUAUGACCGCGAGUCCGCUGCCCUAACCACUGGGCCAUUGCGCCUCCACUAUAUAUAUGUAUGUAUAUACAUACAUACAUACAUACAGGGUGUCCCAAAAAGAUGUACUCACUCUUUGACAGACGAUUACUAAUGUAUUGUUUUUUUUUUGUUUUUUUAUUUCAGACACAACCAACCCUUCACAAUGGCAAAUGCACAACCAACGUUUGAGGAAAAAUAAUUUAUAUUAAAGUGCUACUGGAAGCACGAAAAUGUCAAGGAAGUGCAAAGACAAUUUAACAGACAGUUUCAGAAUAAACCACCAACACGACGCGCUAUUGCUCGCAUCAGAGAUAAAUUUGAAGCAUACGGAACUGUUCAGAACAUUAGUAAGCAACGCUCUGGAAGACCAUGAACAUCCACCAGCCCCAAUAGACUCAACCAGUUAAUGGAAACCCUUUCACGAUCUCCAAAGAAAUCCGUAAGACAAUUGAGUCAUGAGAUAGGAAUCCCAAAAUCAAGUGUUCAUUGAAUGUUGAAACAAGCUCAUUGGAAAAGUUACGUUCCAACAUUAAUUCAAGCUCUCAAUGAAGAUGAUCCUGGUCAGAGAGUUUAAUUUUGCGAAUGGUAUCAGGACAAAUUUGCAGAGGAUGCAACGUUUCCAGAGAAAAUCUUAUGGAGCGAUGAGGCCACCUUCAAGUUAAAUGGAUCAGUC
This 6656-nucleotide long non-coding RNA is filed under the name Octopus vulgaris (common octopus). The record is from RNAcentral. Lineage: Eukaryota; Metazoa; Mollusca; Cephalopoda; Octopoda; Octopodidae.